CGCCUAAACCCCGACGUGUCGGGGCAUGGUGUAUAAGACUCAUCGAAGAAACUGAACCCUGCGUUCAGCGUCUCUUCGAUGAGCCAUAUUCCGAAAGGAGUAUGGGGCUUUCAAAAGCCC
RNAcentral lists this small RNA (120 nucleotides) under unclassified sequences. RNAcentral describes it as "LOOT RNA". It matches the Rfam family "LOOT RNA". From Rfam's summary of the family: Latescibacteria, OD1/Parcubacteria, OP11, TM7. Lineage (Microgenomates, aka OP11) The record is from Rfam by way of RNAcentral.